Molecule: microRNA, 21 nt
Filed under: Malus domestica (apple)
Lineage: Eukaryota; Viridiplantae; Streptophyta; Magnoliopsida; Rosales; Rosaceae
Also listed under: 1 other name
Description: mdm-miR7125
Source: miRBase by way of RNAcentral
CGAACUUAUUGCAACUAGCUU